UGAAAACGAUCAAGUAGAUCUAAGCCGACCUAAGGAGUAAAAGAACAGGGAAUGGGAAUGGAUAGAGAAAUACCAACAUGGUCAAAUGACUUACUAAUGUGGGCAAUUUGGGUUUUAUUUCAGAACCCAUGGUAGAGAUUUCAAACCCCUUCCUUCAAGUUUGCAGGUUCAAAACUCCUUCCUAGAAAACGUAACUUCUUUGGCUAUGGAGAAAAGAGAUAUGAAUUUGACUGAUGGG
This 238-nucleotide long non-coding RNA is filed under the name Theobroma cacao (cacao). RNAcentral's name for it is "long non-coding RNA (TCAC_LNC006141)". Lineage: Eukaryota; Viridiplantae; Streptophyta; Magnoliopsida; Malvales; Malvaceae. The record is from RNAcentral.